GGGCUGCGUCCCAUCAGCUAGUUGGUGAGGUAAUGGCUCACCAAGGCUACGACGGGUAACCGGUCUGAGAGGAUGAUCGGUCACAGUGGGACUGAGACACGGCCCGCACCCCUACGGGGGGCAGCAGUGGGGAAUAUUGGGCAAUGGCCGAAAGGCUGACCCAGCAACGCCGCGUGGUGGAUGAAGCCCUUCGGGGUGUAAACACCUUUUCUGGGGGAAGAUAAUGACGGUACCCCAGGAAUAAGGGACGGCUAACUACGUGCCAGCAGCCGCGGUAAUACGUAGGUCCCGAACGUUGCGCGAAAUUACUGGGCGUAAAGGGUCCGUAGGCGGUCUGGUAAGUGGAAGGUGAAAUCCUACGGCUCAACCGUAGAAUUGCCUUCCAAACUGCUGGACUUGAGGCAGGGAGAGGUCGGCGGAAUUCCCGGUGUAGCGGUGAAAUGCGUAGAUAUCGGAAGGAACACCAGUGGCGAAGGCGGCCGACUGGAACUGUCCUGACGCUGAGGGACGAAAGCUAGGGGAGCAAACCGGAUUAGAUACCCGGGUAGUCCUAGCCGUAAACGAUGGAUGCUAGAUGUGGCCUACGAAAGUAGGCUGUGCCGCAAGCAA
This 609-nucleotide ribosomal RNA is filed under the name uncultured Aquificaceae bacterium. RNAcentral describes it as "bacterial SSU rRNA". It matches the Rfam family "Bacterial small subunit ribosomal RNA", at positions 228 to 855 of the family's 1533-position model. Lineage: Bacteria; Pseudomonadati; Aquificota; Aquificia; Aquificales; Aquificaceae. The record is from RNAcentral.